UGGGGAAUUUUGCACAAUGGAGGAAACUCUGAUGCAGCGACGCCGCGUGAGUGAUGAAGAUCUUCGGAUUGUAAAACUCUGUCCUUAGUGAAGAUAAUGACAGUAACUAAGAAGCAAGCCCUGGCUAAAUACGUGCCAGCAGCCGCGGUAAUACGUAUGGGGCAAGCGUUGUCCGGAAUUAUUGGGCGUAAAGGGUACGUAGGCGGUUUAAUAAGUCCUAAUUAAAAGGCUAUGGCUCAACCAUAGUAUGGUUAGGAAACUGUUGAACUUGAGUAGAUGAGGGGAAAAUGGAAUUCCAUGUGUAGCGGUGAAAUGCGUAGAUAUAUGGAGGAACACCAAUGGCGAAGGCAACUUUCUGGAAUCAAACUGACGCUGAGGUACGAAGGCGUGGGGAGCAAACAGG
Molecule: ribosomal RNA, 403 nt
Filed under: Fusobacteriota bacterium
Lineage: Bacteria; Fusobacteriati; Fusobacteriota
Description: Fusobacteria bacterium partial 16S ribosomal RNA
Rfam family: Bacterial small subunit ribosomal RNA
Source: RNAcentral